ACAUAACAGACACCUUCGGGAAGAAGUUAAGUCGGAUUAGCGGCGGACGGGUGAGUAACACGUGAGUAACCUGCCUUUGACACGGGGAUAGCCACCGGAAACGGUGAUUAAUACCCGAUGAAAUCGUAAUGACACAUGUCAUAACGAUCAAAGUGAAUUAGCGGUCAAAGAUGGACUCGCGUCUGAUUAAUUAGUUGGUGAGGUAACGGCUCACCAAGAUAGCGAUCAGUAGCCGGCCUGAGAGGGUGAACGGCCACAUUGGAACUGAGAAACGGUCCAAACUCCUACGGGAGGCAGCAGUGGGGAAUAUUGCACAAUGGGGGAAACCCUGAUGCAGCGACGCCGCGUGAGCGAAGAAGGAUUUCGAUUCGUAAAGCUCUGUCCUAUGGGAAGAUAAUGACGGUACCAUAGGAGGAAGCCCCGGCUAACUACGUGCCAGCAGCCGCGGUAAUACGUAAGGGGGCGAGCGUUGUCCGGAAUCACUGGGCGUAAAGGGUUCGCAGGCGGUUUAAAAAGUCAAAUGUGAAAGGCAAGGCUCACCCUCGUAAGCAUUUGAAACUUCUAAACUUGAAUAGUGAAGAAGUAAGUGGAAUUCCUAGUGUACGGUGGAAAUGC
This 615-nucleotide ribosomal RNA is filed under the name uncultured bacterium. RNAcentral describes it as "bacterial SSU rRNA". It matches the Rfam family "Bacterial small subunit ribosomal RNA", at positions 66 to 689 of the family's 1533-position model. The record is from RNAcentral.